This is a long non-coding RNA of Mustela erminea (ermine), 274 nucleotides long. RefSeq lists it as uncharacterized. The transcript is spliced from 3 exons. The record is from RefSeq and is a predicted model, not a curated record. NCBI's taxonomy places the organism in Eukaryota, Metazoa, Chordata, Mammalia, Carnivora, Mustelidae.
UGCAAGCAGAGGGCAUCCGUUUGUAGGGCUCUCUCUUUGGCACCUUGCUUGACGAGUGCGCUGAAUCUGCUCAAAAUCCGGCCUCACCGAAAUGAACGAUGGGCCCGAGAAAAGCGAGAGGGCCCAAGUAAAUAUUGCCAGUGGGAGAAGAUACCCACGUUCCACAAAAUAAUGAUAUGACAAUGUUGCAAGUGUUCACAUUGACAGACAAGUUUCCUGUUCAAACUGUCUCGGAAAAGAAGGACUCAAAAUCCACCUAUGCAGGAAUCAAACC